Molecule: long non-coding RNA, 1620 nt
Organism: Brassica oleracea var. oleracea
Lineage: Eukaryota; Viridiplantae; Streptophyta; Magnoliopsida; Brassicales; Brassicaceae
Exons: 5
Source: RefSeq, a predicted model, not a curated record
GAACUCAAGAGCUGUUCGAUCUCUCCAGUAACGUCUCAACCUUUCAUUAAUCCAUUCUUAGCUCUGCCUUUUUGCGUGAUUAGCCCACUCUCUCCGACUGAGAAGCAUUCAAUCGACCCGUUCGCAUCCCACCGUAACCGGCCGAAGCUUCAAAUAUAAUAAAUAUCUCGACUUUCCGGUUUAUAUCGUCUUUUAUUUUCGUGACCUUUCCGAUUCUCCAUCCAUCGUUCUCAGGGAUCGAUCCAAACCGGAAAACAAUGUAAGAUUGCUAUUUCGAGAAAAGACUGUAUCUCUUAUCCCAUGGCCAUGGCCAAGGCCAAAUCACUCCUCUAAUGCCGACAGAGUUAGAAGCAUAUUAGUCUAAACCAUAAAGGUAACAGAAAAUUCAUAUUCGCUUUUGUCUAAAGUUUCUAACGUGAUCAACCCGAAUUUCAGUUAUAAAAAUUGAUUUUGGAGGUGUGCGUCAACCUAACCGUAGCAGUGAGCCGACAAGAACCUCAAAUGCUCUUGCUCUCCCAGGUAUUCUCAUGGAUGUGAAGUUCCUUCAACGUGCAAAUAUUACUGGAAGAAAGUCUCGGCUAAUCUUAUGUCUGCAAUCCUUUUGAACGCAACACAGCUCUUUCCGGCGGCGUUCAAACCGAGUUUAGCUCUUGAGUUUGAUUGGGUUCAUUGCUUGGAUUUAAUUUCUAUAGUUUUAAAUUGGAUGAUUUGUGAUUAUUAUGAUUUGUGAUUAACCAGCUCCAGUUAUAGGGGAAAUUGUGAAAGUAAUGCAUUGAUUUAGUACUGUUUUCUGCUAUAUAUAUACAUAAUCUUUGUUUCAAGGACAAUGAUACACGUGGUGAAGAUCUUGAGCCUGCUGGUGGUAGACUCUACUUAUUGGAUUGCUCUUUUGUAUGUUGCAAUAUUAUUACUCUGCGAACUCAUACAUGGUCGAGCAUGCUGAUUUGUCUUAUGUUUGCCUUUUAUUGUUCUCGACCAGCUAAUAUCGUCUAGAUGUAACAACUUUUGGUUUGCACCAGAUACCGAUAUGCUUUGUAGUGUCACUUGGAUGCUAUGAACACCAUAAGAUGUGAAAGUCUUAGUGUAUUUGAUGGGUGAGCCAUACUAGAUGCAAAAUUGACCACAUAUGGUGAUGUACCAAAGGUUGUAGUAGUUACAAACAACUACCCUAAGUUGGUAGGAGGUAAUAAGCAUGUAACAUGUAAAUCACAGGUGUAGACAUGUUAAUUGUUUCAAUUUAAUUUAUUUCCAGGUCGGCUCUUUCUCAAUGAAACAUCUGGCAUUCAUCUAUUUUGAUCAUUAGUGUACUGCCAGCAAAAGUUAUCUUAAAAAGUCGGUGAUAUCGCCAAUAACUUUUGUUUUAAUUACAAUCUUAUCAUGCCCUGAUUCCUUUCGAACCCUGUUGCUACUUGCUAUAUAGGGUAUGUGACAUUAACGAAGGAUCAAACUCUAACACAACCAAAUAUGGAGGUCCUAAAAGCACUACAUCUUAUUUCACAUGUUUUUGUGUUUUCAGGUUUACUGGAUGACACUUUUCCACCAUAGCGUGUUUUUGUGUUUUCUGGUUUGACAAUUUUCCACCAGAUGGAUGUUACAUUCUCAUUUCAAUAAAUAAUUAUU